This 302-nucleotide unclassified non-coding RNA is filed under the name Hevea brasiliensis (rubber tree). The record is from RNAcentral. Lineage: Eukaryota; Viridiplantae; Streptophyta; Magnoliopsida; Malpighiales; Euphorbiaceae.
CCCCCCCCCCCCCCCCGCCAUUCUCUCCCCUCUUCCACAGCCACCAUCGCUCCUCCUUCCCCCGCCCAUCAUUCUCCUCCUGAGCGCCACGUCUCCAUCCCUCUUCAUUUCUAUCAGGUGUUAGGAGCUGAGACACAUUUCCUUGGAGACGGUAUAAAGAGAGCUUAUGAAGCUAGGAUUUCUAAGCCGCCUCAGUUGGGCUUCAGUCAAGAUGCAUUGAUUAGUCGUCGGCAGNNNNNNNNNNAGCGGAUCCAAAAUCAAGAAGAGAAUAUAAUCAAGGCUUGAUCGAUGACGAGCAGGAU